Molecule: long non-coding RNA, 1149 nt
Filed under: Astyanax mexicanus (Mexican tetra)
Lineage: Eukaryota; Metazoa; Chordata; Actinopteri; Characiformes; Acestrorhamphidae
Description: lncRNA (ENSAMXG00005009756.1)
Source: RNAcentral
CGCGGCGUAUAUAAGGUUCGAUUUAUUUGUUUUUAUUUAAACUGUUUCUGAGCUUUAGAGCUUCUGAGCAGCAGCAGCAGCAGCAGCAGCAGCAGCUUUUCACUUGCGAGAGACACUUUUACAACUACAUACCCACCACCUGAUUUACACUUUAGACUGUUUAAUUAUCUUUAUUCUGAUUUAAUUAUUCUGUAAUUGUUGUAUUUUCUUUGUUGUUGUUGUUGUUGUGUUUUUUGUUGUUGUUUUUAUCUUCAGGUUACCGGAUCAGGUGAGGGACCAACGCCCCGCGGUCGGAAAUGGCCUGGUGGCUGAGGAUUUCUACGGUCCUUCCACGUGAGGCGGAGUCUGGUGCUCCAGAGGCUUCACCUCCUCACACUCCGCCUCUUUCUGUGGACUCCGAUCUGGACUUCAGCUCCGAUGACUCCAGCCUUCUGUCCACCAGUCUUCAGUCGCUGGGUGAAGUGCCAGAGCCCUGUGUGGAGCUGAGAGCCUGUAUUAUGCAGUGCAUAGAAGACCACCUCCCCAGCACCAUGGAGCCUCCCUCUCCUCCACAUCCCAGGCCAGUUCAGGGAGUCAUUGUGUCUGUUGCAGAGGCAGUGCCCUCUCACAGGCUGGACUCCUCUGAACCAGUGCCUGGCAUCAUGGCUGAGCCAGCUGCACAGGUUGUGGCUGGCUUGGACCAUGAUGUGGAGGAGGACGGUCGUAGGCAGGAUGGUAUCGGAGAGGAGGAGAUUCUGGAGCCUGCUCCCAGUCUACAGUCGGCAGAGCCACCCCAGCAGGACACCGGACACCUCUCACCGACCCUCCACACUCGGGGCAGGUCCCAGAAACAGCGCAGCACCACAUUUAACCUGUGUAGCUUGCUUUGUUGUUUCAGGUCUCGUCGCCGAGUCGGGGUGCUGGUUGGGGAGGCAGACCACAGGCUGGACCUUCAGGAGACCUAGCCUGAACCUGAGCCAGUGCCUGCUGCACAGGGAGGAUGGCUACAGCGCUUCCUGCGUCGCUUUAGGAGGACAGCCAGGAAGCGGUGAAAAGGCUGCCCAUAUAACAUCUGGGAGCAGAGCUUCUUUUUACACACAUACAUAAACAUACAUACACACAUAGAUACAUACAAACAUGCAUACAUAAAUAAAUAGAUACAUACAUACA